This 206-nucleotide unclassified non-coding RNA is filed under the name Hevea brasiliensis (rubber tree). Lineage: Eukaryota; Viridiplantae; Streptophyta; Magnoliopsida; Malpighiales; Euphorbiaceae. The record is from RNAcentral.
AGCUUCUUGUGGUCUUUCCCAACAUUAUCUUCUGUUGGAUACUUUACCAUCAGACCAACAUUUCGUUUCUUCUCCGCUUCAGUCUGUAUUUUCAAUUUCAUUACCUUCUUCCUCAACAUCCCCCUUUUCUGGGUCCUUGUCACCUUUGAUGAUUUCUGUUAUGCUGAUGUCUCUCCUACAGCCUCCUUCUCAGGUCUCGAUUUCUU